GGCUCUGAAGGCAAUCUGGCUGCAACAUCUGUCACUCCUUUAAUUGCCGAGGUUGUUUCAGCUGAUUUGACUAGCUCGGCAAGUGUCCACUUCCUACUUCACCUCUCCGUGUGUGUCCUUCCCAAAGCUGCACACUCAGUCAAAGAGGACCACCUUCCCUAGUAAGGAAGACCAUUCUUUGGUCAGGGGUAUAUGAGUAGUUACACUCCCCUGCUAGAACCUCCAAAGCACCCACAUGGUACCAAGCAGUAGACUUAAAUGCUAGGAAUAUAGCAAUAGACAAGGUGGACUUCACUCUGUAGUCACAAUUUCUGU
Molecule: unclassified non-coding RNA, 315 nt
Organism: Bison bison bison
Lineage: Eukaryota; Metazoa; Chordata; Mammalia; Artiodactyla; Bovidae
Gene: 7SK
Rfam family: 7SK RNA
About the family: 7SK was discovered as an abundant small nuclear RNA in the mid-70s but a possible function has only recently been suggested. Two independent studies have found that 7SK RNA binds the CDK9/cyclin T complex (known as elongation factor P-TEFb).
Source: Ensembl